RNAcentral lists this ribosomal RNA (253 nucleotides) under uncultured bacterium. Its description in RNAcentral is "partial 16S ribosomal RNA". It matches the Rfam family "Bacterial small subunit ribosomal RNA", at positions 524 to 776 of the family's 1533-position model. The record is from RNAcentral.
UACAGAGGUCUCAAGCGUUGUUCGGAUUCAUUGGGCGUAAAGGGCGCGUAGGCGGCCGAUCAAGUCGGGGGUGAAAGCCUGUGGCUCAACCACAGAAUUGCCUUCGAUACUGUUUGGCUUGAGACCGGAAGAGGUUAGUGGAACUGCGAGUGUAGAGGUGAAAUUCGUAGAUAUUCGCAAGAACACCAGUGGCGAAGGCGGCUGACUGGUCCGGUUCUGACGCUGAGGCGCGAAAGCGUGGGGAGCAAACAGG